RNAcentral lists this non-coding RNA (26 nucleotides) under Mus musculus (house mouse). The record is from RNAcentral. Lineage: Eukaryota; Metazoa; Chordata; Mammalia; Rodentia; Muridae.
UCAUAUCCAGUAGGUUCUCUUUUGAC